UAGGGAAUCUUCGGCAAUGGACGAAAGUCUGACCGAGCAACGCCGCGUGAGUGAAGAAGGUUUUCGGAUCGUAAAACUCUGUUGUUAGAGAAGAACAAGGACGUUAGUAACUGAACGUCCCCUGACGGUAUCUAACCAGACAGCCACGGCUAACUACGUGCCAGCAGCCGCGGUAAUACGUAGGUGGCAAGCGUUGUCCGGAUUUAUUGGGCGUAAAGCGAGCGCAGGCGGUUUCUUAAGUCUGAUGUGAAAGCCCCCGGCUCAACCGGGGAGGGUCAUUGGAAACGGGGAGACUUGAGUGCAGAAGAGGAGAGUGGAAUUCCAUGUGUAGCGGUGAAAUGCGUAGAUAUAUGGAGGAACACCAGUGGCGAAGGCGGCUCUCUGGUCUGUAACUGACGCUGAGGCUCGAAAGCGUGGGGAGCAAACAGG
Molecule: ribosomal RNA, 429 nt
Filed under: Gemmatimonadota bacterium
Lineage: Bacteria; Pseudomonadati; Gemmatimonadota
Description: Gemmatimonadetes bacterium partial 16S ribosomal RNA
Rfam family: Bacterial small subunit ribosomal RNA
Source: RNAcentral